Long non-coding RNA from Panthera uncia (snow leopard), 1076 nucleotides. RefSeq lists it as uncharacterized. The record is from RefSeq and is a predicted model, not a curated record. The transcript has 3 exons. NCBI's taxonomy places the organism in Eukaryota, Metazoa, Chordata, Mammalia, Carnivora, Felidae.
CGGGUCCACCCUCGCCCGGGGUCCGCUCCUCCGUCCGGAUCUCCGCUCCCGACCCCGCCGGCGUUCGCCCCUCACCACCCCGGACCCCGCCGUCCACCUAGUGCGGGUCUCGCCGGGACCCCGCCCCGGGGCCGCCCAGUCGGGGAGCGCUCCGCCCCUUCUGUCCGCUCCGCCCCCGGCCCCGCCCCGGCCCCGCCCUGUCCCGGGGCGGCCGCUGGGCGGUGCCCUCCGCAGACCGGACGCGCUGCGGAGUCACUUCUCCGUGUUAAGCUCGCGGGGUGCCGAGCUGCCCGGAGACCCCCCCCCCCCCAGACGGUUCCGCUUUCCCGAGGGUUGGAGAUGAAAACUUGGAAGGACGUUAAGGACCCAACUUCGUUUACGUGCGUCCUCCUCGUUUUACCUGGGGACACAGGCUUUGCCCGUCACUGAGGGGUCACUGAGGGGUCAGAAUGGCCCGGGGUCGGCUCACUUCCCGCCCUUUCCCGAAGCUGAGUGGGGGGGUGGGGGCGCCCCUCCCCGCCACCCGGGCCUUAGCCCUCCAGGCCCCUGGAAGUCCCGCCCUUCACCACUUCAGAGGGAAAGUUUUUUCUUAAGGCGGUUAAGUAGAUUCUGUGAUCCAAGAAGGUAGACGCGGCAGAAAAUGAAGGGGCGGGGUGUGUUCUCCAAGCUCUCAGAAUCGCAGAAGCAGGUCCCGGUCAUGGAGCAGAAAAAAGUCACAAAAAUGCAACGCCGGAAUCCACGGUGGCUGGUUUGGUACCGUGAACCUCAGCCAGGCUUCGAGGCUUUCCUUCUGUCUGUCCCUGCGCCUCCAGCCCUCACCUGGCCAUCAAAAACCUUACCCUGGAAGAAGAAAAACAGUCUUCUCCUCCGCAGGGUGGGUACAUCAGUGGCUUCCCCGCACUCAUCGGAACGUUGGCUCUCUUGGAUUGGCACCACCAGCCGUGUGUCUUUGCGAUUCUCUGGCUCAGUCGUGCCCUGACUACUACAUAGGGCUCCCGGGCUUCUCUGGGAACCAGCCAUUCGCCUAAGGAGCUUCGAGUCCUUUUAAUAAAUAGAGCCUGGUGUUAAGAAACAAA